RNAcentral lists this ribosomal RNA (460 nucleotides) under uncultured bacterium. RNAcentral's name for it is "partial 16S ribosomal RNA". It matches the Rfam family "Bacterial small subunit ribosomal RNA", at positions 338 to 795 of the family's 1533-position model. The record is from RNAcentral.
CCUACGGGUGGCAGCAGUGAGGAAUAUUGGGCAAUGGACGAAAGUCUGACCCAGCCAAGUCGCGUGAAGGAUGACUGCCCUAUGGGUUGUAAACUUCUUUUAUAAAGGAAUAAAACGACGCACGUGUGCCUUUUUGCAUGUACUUUAUGAAUAAGGAACGGCUAACUCCGUGCCAUCAGCCGCGGUAAUACGGAGGAUCCGAGCGUUAUGCGGAUUUAUUGGGUUUAAAGGGAGCGUAGAUGGGUUGUUAAGUCAGUUGUGAAAGUUUGCGGCUCAACCGUAAAAUUGCAAUUGAUACUGGCAGUCUUGAGUACAUGUGAGGUAGGCGGAAUUCGUGGUGUAGGGGUGAAAUGCUUAGAUAUCACGAAGAACACCGAUUGCGAAGGCAGCUUACUAACCUGUGACUGACAUUGAGGCUCGAAAGUGUGGGUAUCAAACAGGAUUAGAUACCCCUGUAGUC